RNAcentral lists this ribosomal RNA (253 nucleotides) under uncultured bacterium. RNAcentral's name for it is "partial 16S ribosomal RNA". It matches the Rfam family "Bacterial small subunit ribosomal RNA", at positions 524 to 776 of the family's 1533-position model. The record is from RNAcentral.
UACGUAGGGUGCAAGCGUUGUCCGGAAUUAUUGGGCGUAAAGAGCUCGUAGGCGGUCUGUCGCGUCUGCUGUGAAAACUCGGGGCUUAACCCCGGGCCUGCAGUGGGUACGGGCAGACUAGAGUGCGGUAGGGGAGACUGGAAUUCCUGGUGUAGCGGUGAAAUGCGCAGAUAUCAGGAAGAACACCGGUGGCGAAGGCGGGUCUCUGGGCCGUAACUGACGCUGAGGAGCGAAAGCGUGGGGAGCGAACAGG